AUGGGCUACAUGGAAGAUUACACGGGUGUGUAUCUGAAAACUUCAUUUGAGGGUGUAUUUACUGUGUCAGUUAAGGAGAACAACAACUCAGAGACAGAUUUACAUCGGGAGGUGUAUAAAGUUGGGCCACUUGAAAUUGAGUGCAUGGUCAAGGAGCACUCGAACUUCAUGUCAUAUUCAGUUCUCAGUAACUUCAGGCAUUUGAACAUUGUUUCUGUUGAAAAUUUCUAUUUGGAUAAACAUGGUAAUGGAUGCAUGGUCCUGUCCUCGGUGGAUCAAACUCUAAGAAGCUGGUUGUUGAAAGUGCGACGUGGAGGACGAAAGUUGAAGGCAUUUGAGUCAACCUAUAUGAGUAGCAAGCUUUCGAAGGUCUUUAGAAAAAUGGCUAUCGGCAUGUGUGAUGUUCUGGAAAGUAUGUUUAAAAUUGGAAUCUACCCUAAAUCUAUCAGACUGGCCGAUAUUUACCUUGUUAAUCAUGCAUCCCCAACUGUGAAAAUUCUCAUCUCUGAAGGUACGUAUACUAAACAAAGUCUCUGCAAUUUCCUUCUUUUUCCAUCUUGA
RNAcentral lists this ribosomal RNA (561 nucleotides) under Triticum aestivum (bread wheat). RNAcentral's name for it is "partial small subunit ribosomal RNA". Lineage: Eukaryota; Viridiplantae; Streptophyta; Magnoliopsida; Poales; Poaceae. The record is from RNAcentral.